Molecule: RNA transcript, 1249 nt
Organism: Musa acuminata AAA Group (dessert banana)
Lineage: Eukaryota; Viridiplantae; Streptophyta; Magnoliopsida; Zingiberales; Musaceae
Gene name: ubiquitin-conjugating enzyme E2 36
Exons: 9
Source: RefSeq, a predicted model, not a curated record
UAGUCGAAUUUUUUAUGGCUUCACAUCGGCUUCUUCCUUCACCCCGUCGACUCAUCUCUCCUCUUCCUGCCUCGUGGGAUCCGACCAUCGCGUGGAAUGGCCAACAGCAAUCUUCCUCGAAGGAUCAUCAAGGAGACGCAGCGGCUUCUCAGCGAACCAGCUCCGGGAAUAAGUGCUUCCCCGUCGGAAGACAACAUGCGCUACUUCAACGUGAUGAUUCUCGGGCCGUCCCAGUCUCCGUAUGAAGGAGGAGUAUUCAAGCUUGAGUUGUUUUUACCCGAAGAAUAUCCAAUGGCUGCCCCAAAGGUCCGCUUCCUCACCAAAAUUUAUCAUCCUAAUAUUGACAAGCUUGGAAGAAUAUGCCUAGACAUUCUAAAAGACAAGUGGAGUCCAGCUCUCCAAAUUAGAACAGUACUUCUCAGUAUUCAAGCUCUUCUCAGUGCCCCAAAUCCAGAUGAUCCACUUUCAGACAACAUUGCAAAGCAUUGGAAGACAAACGAAGCAGAAGCAGUGGAAACAGCCAAGGAAUGGACCCGUCUAUAUGCUUCUGGGGCAUGAAAUGGACAACACCAUCCAUUUCAUGACAGCUACAGUGGAGUUUUAACAAAAAGUAUUUGUUUUGCUCACAGCAACUUCCAGGCUAAUCUAUGGUGGGCAUUCAGUUUCAUCAGAGUUAGCAAUUGUGCCCAAGCAUCUCCGAGAAGUAGGUUGCGUCAGUGCUACACUGUAUUUGCUUGUUUGAUGGAGGCUUACGGAAGAACAAUGAACUACAAUGGAGCAUGGGGAUCAAAGAUAACCCAGUUUGUGCCCUGUGGUUCCUACAAAUCAACCCCUGGUUGCAUUUUUUGCGCUUUAGCUGCCAUCGCCAAACUCAGCUUGUAACAGAUGUUGUUCUGCUAGUGCUGUUAUCAGCACUCCCACCCGGCCUUGUGCACGUUGGAGCAGCUUGGGCUGCUCCAUCGAGGCCACUGCAAGGAUGGUUGUGAGCUGCUCUUCUUAUUGAUUGGAUCAUAUUAUUAGUGAACAAUGGGAGAUCAAAUGCUCAGGAUGAGCUACAGCUCAGCUGUGUUAAUGAAAGGGAACCUGCUGUGAUGAUGCCGCAGAUGCUGGUACUGGUAGGGCCACCUUCUUCCUGAGAAGCCAAUAAAAUCGAAUCAAAGAAGGUGAUGAAGAAAGGGAAGCGAGUGAGUCGUGUUCUGUUUGACUGUUGAACUGAGAGUAAUGCUGAAUCCGUCCUCAAGUUCUUUUA